GAGCGCCUCUCGGGCACAUCCCAGCGCGGGGUCUCCCCACAGCAGGCCUCCUGGAAACCCAGUUUGCUUUCAGGAUCUAGACCUACGAGAUGGGUGAGGAAGGAAUGGGUCACACCUGGUCUCUGAGAAAAGGCGGC
RNAcentral lists this long non-coding RNA (137 nucleotides) under Dasypus novemcinctus (nine-banded armadillo). Its description in RNAcentral is "lncRNA (ENSDNOG00000051821.1)". The record is from RNAcentral. Lineage: Eukaryota; Metazoa; Chordata; Mammalia; Cingulata; Dasypodidae.